AUGGCCAGAUCACAUUGAAACACUGCUUCUCAUAUGAUCAUUGAAGUUAAGCAACAUCGAACCUGGUCAGUACCUAGAUGGGUAAUUGCUUGGGAAUACCAGAUGUUGUAA
This is a non-coding RNA of Acanthosepion pharaonis, 111 nucleotides long. The record is from the annotation of a GenBank genome assembly. NCBI's taxonomy places the organism in Eukaryota, Metazoa, Mollusca, Cephalopoda, Sepiida, Sepiidae.